UAGGGAAUCUUCCACAAUGGACGAAAGUCUGAUGGAGCAACGCCACGUGAGUGAAGAAGGGUUUCGGCUCGUAAAACUCUGUUGUUAAAGAAGAACAUAUCUGAGAGUAACUGUUCAGGUAUUGACGGUAUUUAACCAGAAAGCCACGGCUAACUACGUGCCAC
Molecule: ribosomal RNA, 164 nt
Filed under: uncultured bacterium
Lineage: Bacteria
Description: partial 16S rRNA
Rfam family: Bacterial small subunit ribosomal RNA
Source: RNAcentral